GAGUUUGAUCUUGGCUCAGAGCGAACGUUAGCGGCGGGCUUAACACAUGCAAGUCGAACGAGAAUGAGGGCUUCGGCUCUCUAGUAAAGUGGCGGACGGGUGCGUAACACGUGGGUAAUGUACCUUCCAGCGGGGGACAACCGUCCGAAAGGAUGGCUAAUACCGCGUACGUCGGCGAGGGCUCCGGUCCUUGUCGGGAAAGAUGGCCUCUCCUUGGAAGCUAUCACUGGAAGAUCAACCCGCGGCCCAUCAGCUAGUUGGUGAGGUAACGGCUCACCAAGGCUAAGACGGGUAGCUGGUCUGAGAGGAUGAUCAGCCACACUGGGACUGCGACACGGCCCAGACUCCUACGGGAGGCAGCAGUGGGGAAUAUUGGGCAAUGGGCGAAAGCCUGACCCAGUCACGCCGCGUGAGUGAUGAAGGCCUUCGGUC
RNAcentral lists this ribosomal RNA (432 nucleotides) under uncultured delta proteobacterium. RNAcentral describes it as "bacterial SSU rRNA". It matches the Rfam family "Bacterial small subunit ribosomal RNA", at positions 9 to 423 of the family's 1533-position model. The record is from RNAcentral. Lineage: Bacteria; Deltaproteobacteria.